UUCUUCUUCAUCUUUCUUUCCGGUGACACCGAUCUUUUUCAUCCUCGGAGCGCCGCCGCCUCUUACCCUGUCGUCACCGUCUCCGCGAUUAUUUUUCGAAAUGGAGCACCGCCUGCUUCUUCAAUGAACCACCUCUAUUUUGUGAUUACCUUGCAUUGACAAUUAUGCUUAGUACAAAGUAAUUUUCACUUUGUACAUAUAGUCGUAUGAGUUUUCUUUGCUCUUGUGCAGUUUCAGGUAUGGUAGGUUUAUCUGUAGGAGAAGAAUGGUUCUUGUGAUGGUAGAAAAAGAUGACUUUAUCGACCUAUCUAUGUUGAAACUGGAGUCAUUCCUCAGUUUUAAUUCGCACACUUGAUGAACUUCAUGGUAGGCAAAUGGUUCGGCAAGAGUCAGAAUUGGUGCUACUGAAGUCAUUGCCAGUGUGAAGGCUGAACUUGGAAAACCAAGCUUAAUGCAACCUGACAAAGGGAAAGUCUUGAUAUAUAUAUUGAUGGUCGUUCGACUGCAGAGCCAGUUUUUGAGGGUCGAGGGCUCGAUCGUUUAUCAGUAGCAAACCUGUCAAAUUCUCUUCAACACUGUCUCUUGGGUGCGAAAAGUGGAGCAGGUCUAUCUUCCUCCUAAUGCAUAGAUUAUGCUUACUCAUGCUUUUUCCCCAUGUUCUUGCUUAUGGAUCUUGUUUUCUUUUUAGUCACGACGGUGAUAUCUUAAAUCUAUCGUUAGAAUUAUCUGGAAAUGCCCCAAUGCAGCUUUACUCUUUCGGCUUAGUGUUGAAAAUCAUACGAUUAGUUGGGAAUUGGAAAAAAUUGUUGACUUGAAGUUGGUAAGAAAUAAGCACAAGUAUGUGAAGAGGUGAAUUUGAAAAAGUUCCACAUUGGAGGGAUACCACACUUUAUUAGCGCUUAUACAUGUAGGUUGGCCAAAGAAUAGUGUGUCCCCUGGGGUAUGCGGGACAAGCAAUUUUGUGAAAGAGGGAGGACGCACCGUCAUAAACCAUCACACGCACAAGUAGUAAUCGUAUAGUUGAACUGAGUUGUUUUGUCUUGGAGGCGUCGAGAUUGAUCGUCUCUGCCUUGCACAAUUUAGGACAGUGCCGCGAAAUAUCUUAAAGAGAGUAGUGACCCAGUCCGCAACUCGACUUGGUAAUUUCUUCACCAGACAAUUUUUUCAAAACUGUAAAACAAACACUUAGUGAUCACUAGGGUGUGUUGUACACUAUAGUUUUUUAAGUGUUUGACUGCAAAAGUUUUUGUAGUUGUAGCUUUUGCUAAAUAAAUAGGAUUGUAUUUCAUAAAUUUUUGUCUUUUGAACUGUGCAGACUGAACUUUAGCUCUAAGAUGGUUGUUUAGUAUCAUCCAAUGUUAACCUUUGGCAUGAGCAUUGUCCAUACUUAUGCUAGAGAUGUAAUAAAGCUAUUGAUGAGCCUCAACCCUCUCUAAGUUUUUGGAACACAGACACCAAUCCAUCCGGCCACUCAUUGAAAACCGAAGAUAAUAUUCAAACUAUCGUCAUCUCUAGCAUUGCAUGUUGAAUAUUUUGACACUGUAAUCCACUGACAUAGUAUCUAAAAAGAAAAGUCCAAGUUGCCAAUGAUAAAAAUGAAGAAAGUAUCUUUGAUUUAAGAACAAAAAAAGGCAUGUCCUUAAUUUGAUCUUGAUUCCCAUCUUCCACUUGUUCCCCACUUUCCUGAUUCAUAUAUUGAAUUCCCUAAGCACAAGUAUCUUUAUCUUCUGUCCUUUUACAAGAUAUAUUCCUCACCAAGAGUCUACACUACACCAAACACUUUUCCUCCUACUUAUAACCUUCUAUCUUGGUUAUUGUUUUCUCAUCAUACCAUAAUAGCUCCAUUUUUGUAAACUAAGUUG
Molecule: long non-coding RNA, 1862 nt
Organism: Vicia villosa (hairy vetch)
Lineage: Eukaryota; Viridiplantae; Streptophyta; Magnoliopsida; Fabales; Fabaceae
Exons: 4
Source: RefSeq, a predicted model, not a curated record